This 246-nucleotide ribosomal RNA is filed under the name uncultured bacterium. RNAcentral's name for it is "partial 16S ribosomal RNA". It matches the Rfam family "Bacterial small subunit ribosomal RNA", at positions 127 to 353 of the family's 1533-position model. The record is from RNAcentral.
UGCCUUCAGGAUGGGGACAACAGACGGAAACGACUGCUAAUACCGAAUAAGUUCCAAGAGCCGCAUGGCCCAUGGAAGAAAAGGUGGCCUCUACCUGUAAGCUAUCGCCUGAAGAGGGGUUUGCGUCUGAUUAGCUGGUUGGAGGGGUAACGGGCCCACCAAGGCGACGAUCAGUAGCCGGUCUGAGAGGAUGAACGGCCACACUGGAACUGAGACACGGUCCAGACUCCUACGGGAGGCAGCAUG